Non-coding RNA from Magnetospirillum moscoviense, 53 nucleotides. The record is from Rfam. Lineage: Bacteria; Pseudomonadati; Pseudomonadota; Alphaproteobacteria; Rhodospirillales; Rhodospirillaceae.
GCGAGGCUCCGGGCCCCUCUGGCGGCAUGCGGUCGCGAUGUCGGAGCGCCUUC